This 253-nucleotide ribosomal RNA is filed under the name uncultured bacterium. RNAcentral describes it as "partial 16S ribosomal RNA". It matches the Rfam family "Bacterial small subunit ribosomal RNA", at positions 524 to 776 of the family's 1533-position model. The record is from RNAcentral.
UACAGAGGGUGCGAGCGUUGUUCGGAAUUAUUGGGCGUAAAGAGCGCGCAGGCGGUCGUGCAAGUCGCGUGUGAAAGCCCCCGGCUCAACUGGGGAGGGUCACGCGAUACUGUUCGACUUGAAGGCAGGAGAGGGAAGUGGAAUUCCCGGUGUAGUGGUGAAAUGCGUAGAUAUCGGGAGGAACACCAGUGGCGAAGGCGACUUCCUGGCCUGUUCUUGACGCUGAGGCGCGAAAGCUAGGGUAGCAAACGGG